Molecule: ribosomal RNA, 753 nt
Filed under: Mycobacterium avium
Lineage: Bacteria; Bacillati; Actinomycetota; Actinomycetes; Mycobacteriales; Mycobacteriaceae
Description: bacterial SSU rRNA
Rfam family: Bacterial small subunit ribosomal RNA
Source: RNAcentral
GGCCUACCACGGCGACGACCGGUAGCCGGCCUGAGAGGGUGUCCGGCCACACUGGGACUGAUAUACGGCCCAGAGUCCUACGGGAGGCAGCACUGGGGUAUAUUGCGCAUUGGGCGCAAGCCUGAUGCAGCGACGCCGCGUGGGGGAUGACGGCCUUCGGGUUGUAAACCUCUUUCACCAUCGACGAAGGUCCGGGUUUUCUCGGAUUGACGGUAGGUGGAGAAGAAGCACCGGCCAACUACGUGCCAGCAGCCGCGGUAAUACGUAGGGUGCGAGCGUUGUCCGGAAUUACUGGGCGUAAAGAGCUCGUAGGUGGUUUGUCGCGUUGUUCGUGAAAUCUCACGGCUUAACUGUGAGCGUGCGGGCGAUACGGGCAGACUAGAGUACUGCAGGGGAGACUGGAAUUCCUGGUGUAGCGGUGGAAUGCGCAGAUAUCAGGAGGAACACCGGUGGCGAAGGCGGGUCUCUGGGCAGUAACUGACGCUGAGGAGCGAAAGCGUGGGGAGCGAACAGGAUUAGAUACCCUGGUAGUCCACGCCGUAAACGGUGGGUACUAGGUGUGGGUUUCCUUCCUUGGGAUCCGUGCCGUAGCUAACGCAUUAAGUACCCCGCCUGGGGAGUACGGCCGCAAGGCUAAAACUCAAAGGAAUUGACGGGGGCCCGCACAAGCGGCGGAGCAUGUGGAUUAAUUCGAUGCAACGCGAAGAACCUUACCUGGGUUUGACAUGCACAGGACGCGUCUAGAGAUAGGCG